AUUGAACGCUGGCGGCAUGCUUUACACAUGCAAGUCGAACGGCAGCACGGGGGCAACCCUGGUGUCGAGCGGCGAACGGGUGAGUAAUACAUCGGAACGUGCCCGGUCGUGGGGGAUAACGUAGCGAAAGUUACGCUAAUACCGCAUACGAUCUGAGGAUGAAAGCGGGGGACCUUCGGGCCUCGCGCUAUCGGAUCAGCCUAGGUCGGAUUAGGUAGUUGGUGGGGUAAAGGCCUACCAAGCCGACGAUCCGUAGCUGGUCUGAGAGGACGAUCAGCCACACUGGGACUGAGACACGGCCCAGACUCCUACGGGAGGCAGCAGUGGGGAAUAUUGGACAAAGGGCGAAAGCCUGAUCCAGCCAUGCCGCGUGUAUGAAGAAGGUCUUCGGGUUGUAAACCGCUUUUGGAUGGGACGAAAAGGAUUAGGCUAAUACCUGGGGGUCAUGACGGUACCAUAAGAAUAAGCACCGGCUAACUACGUG
RNAcentral lists this ribosomal RNA (484 nucleotides) under uncultured bacterium. RNAcentral describes it as "partial 16S ribosomal RNA". It matches the Rfam family "Bacterial small subunit ribosomal RNA", at positions 30 to 507 of the family's 1533-position model. The record is from RNAcentral.